AAUCAACACUCCACUCAGACAAUGCCCAGACCUCCAGAAACCAUGUGUCAAGCUCGGAUUGCCUUAGACAGCUCACCCAGCUGGAACUCUUAUGGGACCUUGGCACCAGAGACCACAAAUUCCUCUUUGAAGUUUUCUAACAGCAACAAUGGUAUUUCUGACUUGGCUUUCUUGUAUUUCUCUCACGUUAACAAAAUUGGUUCAGCAUCUACCAUGGGCUACAUGCUGAGCUACAGAGUUUCGCUCUGUCGCCCAGGCUGGAGUGCAGUGGCGCGCGAUCUCGGUUCACUGCAAGCUCCACCUCCCGGGUUCACGCCAUUCUCCUGCCUCAGCCUCCUGAGUAGCUGGGACUACAGGCGCCCGCCACCACACCCAGGAAUCCAACUUGCUGUUUGCUAUCACAUGUGCUAUACAUGCUGUUGAUGAAACUGCUAAAGGGGCUGAAUGUGACUGACGUCUUUGGAAGGAUGAGACUUAGCGUGCCUGUACAGUUGUGUCCAAAUGCUGUCCUCAUCUCCCAAUGAAAAGGUAUUGUAAAUAAAGAGAAAG
This is a long non-coding RNA of Homo sapiens (human), 549 nucleotides long. Ensembl annotates it as lung cancer associated transcript 1. Its record names the gene LUCAT1. The record is from Ensembl. NCBI's taxonomy places the organism in Eukaryota, Metazoa, Chordata, Mammalia, Primates, Hominidae.